GACGAACGCUGGCGGCGUGCCUAAUACAUGCAAGUAGAACGCACAGUUUAUACCGUAGCUUGCUACACCAUAGACUGUGAGUUGCGAACGGGUGAGUAACGCGUAGGUAACCUGCCUGGUAGCGGGGGAUAACUAUUGGAAACGAUAGCUAAUACCGCAUAAUAUUAAUUAUUGCAUGAUAAUUAAUUGAAAGGUGCAAUUGCACCACUACCAGAUGGACCUGCGUUGUAUUAGCUAGUAGGUGAGGUAACGGCUCACCUAGGCGACGAUACAUAGCCGACCUGAGAGGGUGAUCGGCCACACUGGGACUGAGACACGGCCCAGACUCCUACGGGAGGCAGCAGUAGGGAAUCUUCGGCAAUGGACGAAAGUCUGACCGAGCAACGCCGCGUGAGUGAAGAAGGUUUUCGGAUCGUAAAGCUCUGUUGUAAGAGAAGAACGGGUGUGAGAGUGGAAAGUUCGCACUGUGACGGUAUCUUACCAGAAAGGGACGGCUAACUACGUG
This 505-nucleotide ribosomal RNA is filed under the name uncultured bacterium. RNAcentral describes it as "partial 16S ribosomal RNA". It matches the Rfam family "Bacterial small subunit ribosomal RNA", at positions 28 to 507 of the family's 1533-position model. The record is from RNAcentral.